AGAGUUUGAUCAUGGCUCAGGAUGAACGCUAGCGGCAGGCCUAACACAUGCAAGUCGAGGGGUAGGGAGAGCUUGCUCUCCCGAGACCGGCGCACGGGUGCGUAACGCGUAUACAACCUACCUUUUGCUACGGGAUAGCCCAGAGAAAUUUGGAUUAACACCGUAUAGUAUAUAGAGAUCUCAUGGUUUUUAUAUUAAAGGCUACGGCAAAAGAUGGGUAUGCGUCCUAUUAGCUAGAUGGUGUGGUAACGGCACACCAUGGCAACGAUAGGUAGGGGCCCUGAGAGGGGGAUCCCCCACACUGGUACUGAGACACGGACCAGACUCCUACGGGAGGCAGCAGUGAGGAAUAUUGGACAAUGGGCGCAAGCCUGAUCCAGCCAUGCCGCGUGCAGGAAGACUGCCCUAUGGGUUGUAAACUGCUUUUGUACGGGAAGAAACACCCCCUCGUGAGGGGGCUUGACGGUACCGUAAGAAUAAGGAUCGGCUAACUCCGUGCCAGCAGCCGCGGUAAUACGGAGGAUCCAAGCGUUAUCCGGAAUCAUUGGGUUUAAAGGGUCCGUAGGUGGACGGUUAAGUCAGGGGUGAAAGUCUGCAGCUCAACUGUAGAAUUGCCCUUGAUACUGGUCGUCUUGAAUCAUUGUGAAGUGGUUAGAAUAUGUAGUGUAGCGGUGAAAUGCAUAGAUAUUACAUAGAAUACCGAUUGCGAAGGCAGAUCACUAACAAUGUAUUGACACUGAUGGACGAAAGCGUGGGUAGCGAACAGGAUUAGAUACCCUAGUAGUCC
This 787-nucleotide ribosomal RNA is filed under the name uncultured bacterium. RNAcentral describes it as "bacterial SSU rRNA". It matches the Rfam family "Bacterial small subunit ribosomal RNA", at positions 8 to 796 of the family's 1533-position model. The record is from RNAcentral.